This 208-nucleotide ribosomal RNA is filed under the name uncultured bacterium. Its description in RNAcentral is "partial 16S ribosomal RNA". It matches the Rfam family "Bacterial small subunit ribosomal RNA", at positions 524 to 730 of the family's 1533-position model. The record is from RNAcentral.
UACGUAGGGAGCAAGCGUUGUCCGGAAUCAUUGGGCGUAAAGCGCGCGUAGGUGGUCCCGUAAGUCCGCUGUGAAAGUCAAGGCUCAACCUUUGAAAGCCGGUGGAUACUGUGGGACUAGAGUACGGAAGAGGCGAGUGGAAUUCCUGGUGUAGCGGUGGAAAUGCGCAGAGUAUCAGGAGGAACACCAAUAGCGAAGGCAGCUCGCU